GAUGAACGCUGGCGGCGUGCCUAAUACAUGCAAGUCGAGCGAACAGACGAGGAGCUUGCUCCUCUUACGUUAGCGGCGGACGGGUGAGUAACACGUGGAUAACCUACCUAUAAGACUGGGAUAACUUCGGGAAACCGGAGCUAAUACCGGAUAAUAUAUUUAACCGCAUGGUUCAAUAGUGAAAGACGGUUUUGCUGUCACUUAUAGAUGGAUCCGCGCCGCAUUAGCUAGUUGGUAAGGUAACGGCUUACCAAGGCAACGAUGGGUAGCCGACCUGAGAGGGUGAUCGGCCAAACUGGAACUGAGACACGGUCCAGACUCCUACGGGAGGCAGCAGUAGGGAAUCUUCCGCAAUGGGCGAAAGCUUGACGGAGCAACGCCGCGUGAGUGAUGAAGGUCUUCGGAUCGUAAAACUCUGUUAUUAGGGAAGAACAAAUGUGUAAGUAACUAUGCACGUCUUGACGGUACCUAAUCAGAAAGCCACGGCUAACUACGUG
RNAcentral lists this ribosomal RNA (497 nucleotides) under uncultured bacterium. RNAcentral describes it as "partial 16S ribosomal RNA". It matches the Rfam family "Bacterial small subunit ribosomal RNA", at positions 28 to 507 of the family's 1533-position model. The record is from RNAcentral.